AGAAUAUUAUCAUUUAUACAAACCAACUAAUUUUUGUCCAUAUUAUUAUUUCUAAUCCAAAACCCUUUUCUCAUAUUAUUCCAAUAAUCCAAAACCCAACCUUAACUUCAAUUUACUUCUUCCCCAAACCCGCCGCUUCCCUUUUUCUAUAUAUCCCUUUUUCUUUACACACAUAACCAUUUCACUCUGCAAAAAAUCAAGAAAAAGAGUUUAUGAAGGAAUUAACAUGGAUUUUGCUACACGGCAAGCAAGUAUUAAGAGUGUUUUGACAUGCGGAAUUUGCAAAAAACUAUGCAAAAAAGUCACCAUAAUUGAAGAAUGCUGUCACAGAUUUUGCAAGAAGUGCAUAACAAAGAAGAUAACAGAAGAGAAAUCGCAUAUUUGUCCAGUAUGCAACUUGGAUUUAGGCUGUGCUCCAUUGCAGA
Nicotiana tabacum (common tobacco) is the source of this 425-nucleotide non-coding RNA. The record is from RefSeq and is a predicted model, not a curated record. NCBI's taxonomy places the organism in Eukaryota, Viridiplantae, Streptophyta, Magnoliopsida, Solanales, Solanaceae.